AUCUUUCUAGUACAAGUAGUAUAAGUGACUUCCAAUUACAUGGUCCCGGUUAAAAUCCGAGGAAAGAUA
Molecule: transfer RNA, 69 nt
Filed under: Epiplatys togolensis
Lineage: Eukaryota; Metazoa; Chordata; Actinopteri; Cyprinodontiformes; Nothobranchiidae
Description: tRNA-Gly
Rfam family: tRNA
About the family: Transfer RNA (tRNA) molecules are approximately 80 nucleotides in length. Their secondary structure includes four short double-helical elements and three loops (D, anti-codon, and T loops).
Source: RNAcentral